RNAcentral lists this long non-coding RNA (356 nucleotides) under Cyanistes caeruleus (blue tit). Its description in RNAcentral is "lncRNA (ENSCCEG00000010525.1)". Lineage: Eukaryota; Metazoa; Chordata; Aves; Passeriformes; Paridae. The record is from RNAcentral.
UCAGGAAGAUGUAGUUGUUAGAAAUACUUAGUGCAGCCAGUGGAGUUAAGGACUUUCCCUAUGUAAAGUCUUUCAGUGUGAACUUGUCUUUCAGGACUGUAGAUAAAGCCCACGUCUUUCCCAAUCACCAGAGUAACAGAGACAAAAUCCAGAAACUACCUUUGAGGUGUAUGCAGAAGUGACCCACUCAGGAAUCAGUUGCAUUGGGAAAGAUCCUGAGGUGCGGAGGCAAUUCCCAGAGGGCUACAGUGACCAGGUUUGGAAUGCGUAAUUAAUUUUUUACAUGACAAAAUUUAUUUCAGGGUUGUUCAACAUAUUAUUGCUGCUCUUUUUACUGAAAGAGAUAAAUGCAUUCU